Molecule: non-coding RNA, 3384 nt
Organism: Capsicum annuum
Lineage: Eukaryota; Viridiplantae; Streptophyta; Magnoliopsida; Solanales; Solanaceae
Source: Rfam
UGACCCCAAGUCAUGCACGAUUACCCACUGAGUUUAAGCAUAUCUAUAAGUGGGGGAAAAGAAAGUUACAAGGAUUCCCUUUGUAACGGCAAGAGAACUGAGAAUAGCCCAGACUUUGAAUUGUACCACUCUGUUGUAUGAAUUAUGUCUGGAGAAGCAUCCUCAGUGGCAGACCGGGCCCAUGUCCCCAAGAAAGGGGUUCUAUAGAGGGUGAGAGACUCGUUGUGCUUGGACCCUAUCGCACCUCGAGGCGCUGUCUACAAGUCAGGUUGUUUAGGAAUGUAACCUAAAUCAGGCGGUGAAUUUCAUCCAAGGCUAAAUACGGGCUAGAGACCGAUAGUGAACAAGUACCAUGAGGGAAAGAUGAAAAGGACUUUGAAAAGAGAUUCAAAUUGUGCUUGAAAUUGUUAAGAGGGAAGUGGAUGGGGGCUGGCGAUACGCACCGGUCGGAUAUGGAAGGAUGGUGAACCGGUCUGUCGAUCAACUCAGGGCAUGGACCAGUGUGGAUUUGGGGUGCAGCCAAAGCUUGAGCUCUCGAUACGCUCGCGGAAUAUCGUGUUCUCAAUUGUGGCAAGCAGCGUGUGCCUCUUUUGUGCUUCGACAUCUGCGCACUCCAGAUGCUUUUUUAUGGGCUCCCCAUUCUACUGAUCUUGAAAAAUGGACCAUGGAAUCUGACAUGCGUGGGAGUCAACAAGUGAGUAAACCCGUAAGUCAUAAGAAAGAUUAUUGGUAGGAUCCCCCUAAAGGGUGCACCGCCGACCAACCUUGAUCUUUUGAGAAGGGUUCAAGUGAAAGAAUACCUAUCAGGACUCGACAGAUGGUGAACUAUGCUUGAGUGGGGCGAAGCCAGAGGAAACUCUAGUGGAGGCCCAUAGCGAUACUGAUACGUAAAUCAUUCGUCUGACUUAGGUAUAGGGGGAAUGACUAAUUGAACCGUCUAGUAGCUGGUUCCCUUCAAAGUUUCCCCUAGGAUAACUGGAACUCGCAUAUAAGUUCUAUUGGGAAAAGAUAAUAAUUAUAGGACUCGAGGGUGCAACGCCCUCGACCUAUUCUCAAACUUUAAAUAGGUAGGACGGCGCAACAACUUUGUUGAGCCGCGCCACAGAAUGAAGAGCUCCAAGUAGGCCACUUUUGGUAAGAAGAAUAGGCAAUGUGGGAUGAACCAGAAUCCGAGUUACAGUUCCAAACUGCACGCUAAACUAGAUCCCACUAUGGGUGUUGGUCGAUCAAGACAGUAGGACGGUGGUCGUAGAAGUCAAAAUCUACUAAGGGGUGUGUAACAACUCUCUUGACGAAUCAUUUAUCCCUAAAAAUAGAUGGAAUUUAAUCAUGAGACCUACACCUGGCUGUUGGGGAAAGUGCCAGGCCUCGAUGAAUAAGAGAUCAUGGCGGUCACUACAAAACCUUGGGUUCGAUCUUGGGUGGAGUGGCCUUGGGGAAAAUCUUUGUAGUAGUAGCAAAUAUUCAAACGACAACUUUGAUGGCUGAAUAGAGGAAAGGUUCCAUGUGAAAGACACUUGCACAUAGGUUAGUCGAUUCAAAAGGUCCGGGGAACCCCAACAGAUAGCGCAUUUUCGGGCGUACUCUGAAAGAAAAUCAAGUUAUAGUUCCUGAAUCGAGAUGUAGUAGUCGACGACAAUGUUAGGAAGUCUGGAUAAGUUAGUGGGAGCCUCGGAAAGAGUUCUCUUUUGUAUUUAACGGCCUGCCCACCCUAGAAUCGGCUCAGUCAGAGGUAGGGUCCAGCGGCUGGAAUAGCACUGCACAUCGCGUGGUGUCUGGUACGCUUCAAGCAGCCCUUAAAAAUAUGGAGAAGCGAAUGCCUUCCACGCCCGGUCAUACUCAUAACCACAUCCAGUUUCAAAAGAGAAUAACCUCUGGUUGAUAAAAAAAUGUAGGCAAGGGAAGUCAGGAAAAUGGAUCCGUAACUUCAGGAAAAAUGAUUGGCUCUGAGGGAUGGGCAUGGGGGUCCCAGUCAUGAACCCAUUGCAGCCGGUGGACUACUCGAGCUGCUUCCAUGGAUAGAGCGGGUCAUCACGUACCAACCAGGGGACGGACUGGGAACGAUUCCUUCAGGGGCCUUCCCUGCGCGUCGAACAACCAACUCCAAAUUGGUACGGACAAAGGGAAUCCGAUUAUCUAAUUAAAAAAAAAAUUGCAAUGGUCCCAACGGAUGUUCACAUAAUGUGAUUUCUGCCCAGUGCUGUGAAUGUCAAAGUGAAAAAAUUCAACCAAGCACGGGUAAAUGAUGGGAGUAACUAUAACUCUCUUAAGGUAUCCAAAUGCCUCAUCAUCUAAUUUAUGAUGCUUAUCAAAGGAUUAACAAGAUUCCUAUUGUCUUUGUCUACUAUCCAGUGAAACCACAACUAAGUGAACGGGCUUGGCAGAAUCAGCGGGGAAAGAAGAUCCUGUUGAGCUUAACUCUAGUCCGACUUUGUGAAACGACUUGAGAGGUGUAAUAUAAGUGGGAGACAAAAGAUGAAAGUUAAAUACCACUACUUUUAACGUUAUUUUUCUUAUUCUGUGAAUCAUAAGCAGGGCACUGCCCCUCUUUUUGGACCCAUGGCUCGCUCUACGAGCCGAUCUAGGUAGAAAACAUUGUCAGGUGCGAAGUUUGACUGGGGCAUCACAUCUAUUAAAAGAUGAUAUAGGUGUCCUAAGAUGAUCUCAAUGAGAAUAGAAAUCUCAUGUGGAACAGAAGGGUAAAAGCUUGUUUGAUUCUGAUUUCCAGUACGAAUAUGAACUGUGAAAGCUUGCCCUAAUGAUCCUUUAGAACUUUGGAUUUCAAAGCUAGAGGUUUCAAAAAAUUUACAAUAGGGAUAACUGGCUUUUUGUAGCCAAGCGUUUAUAGCGACGUUUCUUUUUUAUCCUUCGAUGUCGGCUCUACCUAUCAUUGUGAAGUAGAAUUCACUAAGUGUUGGAUUGUUUACCCACCAAUAGAGGACGUGAGCUGGGUUUAGACAGUCUUGAUACAGGUUAGUUUUACCCAACUGAUGAUAGUGUCGAAAUAUUAAUUCAACCUAGUACGAGGAAACCAUUGAUUCACACAAUUGGUCAUCGCGCUUGGUUAAAAAUCCAAUGACGUGAAGAUACCGUGUGCUGGAUUAUGACUGAACACCUCUAAGUUAGAAUCAGGUCUACAAGUGAUGCAUGCGCCCGCCGUCUACUUGCCGACCCAUAGUAGGGGCUCGGCCUCCAAGGGCACGUGUCGUUAGCUAAGCCAUCGCAGCAGAAGGGUCGCAGUGGCCGCCUUGAAGUUCAAUUUCCAUCGAGUGACGGGUAGAAUCCUUUGCAGAUGACUUAAAUAAGCAACGAGGUAUUGUAAGUGGUGGAGUGGCCUUGCUGCCACAAUCUACUGAUAUUCUGCCCUUUGACGCUCUGGUUCAU